This 107-nucleotide small nucleolar RNA is filed under the name Ipomoea nil (Japanese morning glory). RNAcentral's name for it is "Plant small nucleolar RNA R71". It matches the Rfam family "Plant small nucleolar RNA R71". Rfam says of the family: R71 is a member of the C/D box family of snoRNAs containing the C (UGAUGA) and D (CUGA) box motifs. Multiple nearly identical copies of this snoRNA have been identified in Arabidopsis, and it is thought to function as a 2'-O-ribose methylation guide for 18S ribosomal RNA. Lineage: Eukaryota; Viridiplantae; Streptophyta; Magnoliopsida; Solanales; Convolvulaceae. The record is from Rfam by way of RNAcentral.
AUUUGAUGGUGUGGGCAACUUGCACAUAGUGUCUAGAAACGCUCCCAAUAUUCAUACAGGGACUCUCUAUCGUUUUGCCUAAUACCACAUAUUUCCUUUCUAAUGUU